Molecule: ribosomal RNA, 459 nt
Filed under: uncultured Sphingobacteriales bacterium
Lineage: Bacteria; Pseudomonadati; Bacteroidota; Sphingobacteriia; Sphingobacteriales
Description: bacterial SSU rRNA
Rfam family: Bacterial small subunit ribosomal RNA
Source: RNAcentral
CGACAAGCGGUGGAGCAUGUGGUUUAAUUCGAUGAUACGCGAGGAACCGUUACCUGGGCGUCGAACGUAAGAUGACUGUAGGUGAAAGCUUACAUCUCUUCGGAGCAUUUUACGAGGUGCUGCAUGGUUGUCGUCAGCUCGUGCCGUGAGGUGUCGGGUUAAGUCCCAUAACGAGCGCAACCCUACCUUUAGUUGCCAUCAGGUAAUGCUGGGGACUCUAAAGGAACUGCCUACGCAAGUAGUGAGAAGGCGGGGAUGACGUCAAAUCAGCACGGCCCUUACGUCCAGGGCUACACACGUGCUACAAUGGCCGAUACAGAGGGCAGCUACCUGGUGACAGGAUGCAAAUCUCCAAAGUCGGUCUCAGUUCGGAUCGGAGUCUGCAACCCGACUCCGUGAAGUUGGAUUCGCUAGUAAUCGCGCAUCAGCCAUGGCGCGGUGAAUACGUUCCCGGGCCUU